RNAcentral lists this ribosomal RNA (432 nucleotides) under uncultured bacterium. Its description in RNAcentral is "partial 16S ribosomal RNA". It matches the Rfam family "Bacterial small subunit ribosomal RNA", at positions 29 to 506 of the family's 1533-position model. The record is from RNAcentral.
AACGAACGCUGGCGGCAUGCCUAACACAUGCAAGUCGAACGAGACCUUCGGGUCUAGUGGCGCACGGGUGCGUAACGCGUGGGAACCUGCCCUUAGGUUCGGAAUAACUCCCCGAAAGGGGUGCUAAUACCGGAUAAUGUCUUCGGACCAAAGAUUUAUCGCCUUUGGAUGGGCCCGCGUUGGAUUAGCUAGUUGGUAGGGUAAAAGCCUACCAAGGCGACGAUCCAUAGCUGGUCUGAGAGGAUGAUCAGCCACACUGGGACUGAGACACGGCCCAGACUCCUACGGGAGGCAGCAGUGGGGAAUAUUGGACAAUGGGCGAAAGCCUGAUCCAGCAAUGCCGCGGGAGUGAUGAAGGCCUUAGGGUGGUAAAGCUCUUUUACCCGGGAUGAUAAGGACAGUACCGGGAGAAUAAGCUCCGGCUAACUCCGU